UUCCUGAUAGCUCAGUUGGUAAAGAAUCUGCUUUCAGUGCAGGAGACCCUGGUUCGAUUCUUGGUCAGGAAG
Molecule: transfer RNA, 72 nt
Filed under: Ovis aries (sheep)
Lineage: Eukaryota; Metazoa; Chordata; Mammalia; Artiodactyla; Bovidae
Rfam family: tRNA
About the family: Transfer RNA (tRNA) molecules are approximately 80 nucleotides in length. Their secondary structure includes four short double-helical elements and three loops (D, anti-codon, and T loops).
Source: Rfam by way of RNAcentral